RNAcentral lists this ribosomal RNA (440 nucleotides) under uncultured bacterium. Its description in RNAcentral is "partial 16S ribosomal RNA". It matches the Rfam family "Bacterial small subunit ribosomal RNA", at positions 338 to 795 of the family's 1533-position model. The record is from RNAcentral.
CCUACGGGAGGCAGCAGUGGGGAAUAUUGCACAAUGGGGGAAACCCUGAUGCAGCGACGCCGCGUGAGUGAAGAAGUAUUUCGGUACGUAAAGCUCUAUCAGCAGGGAAGAAGAUGACGGUACCUGACUAAGAAGCCCCGGCUAACUACGUGCCAGCAGCCGCGGUAAUACGUAGGGGGCAAGCGUUAUCCGGAUUUACUGGGUGUAAAGGGAGCGUAGACGGCAGCGCAAGUCUGGAGUGAAAUCCCAUGGCUUAACCAUGGAACUGCUUUGGAAACUGUGCAGCUAGAGUGCAGGAGAGGUAAGCGGAAUUCCUAGUGUAGCGGUGAAAUGCGUAGAUAUUAGGAGGAACACCAGUGGCGAAGGCGGCUUACUGGACUGUAACUGACGUUGAGGCUCGAAAGCGUGGGGAGCAAACAGGAUUAGAUACCCCAGUAGUC